RNAcentral lists this long non-coding RNA (393 nucleotides) under Citrus x clementina. RNAcentral describes it as "Citrus clementina (C. clementina) long non-coding RNA (CCLE_LNC002429)". The record is from RNAcentral. Lineage: Eukaryota; Viridiplantae; Streptophyta; Magnoliopsida; Sapindales; Rutaceae.
UUUGGGUUGGCGCCCCAUCAGUAUUGAUUUUGCAGGGUGGAAAUUGGUAACAUGUUUAGCGUGGUCAAAUGCGAUCAUUGACUGGUGUUUGUGAGCAUUAAUGGAGUUCCUAUAGAGCUCUGAUGAGGCCAUGGAUACGGAGCUUGGGGGAAGGAUUAAUGACAUUUUUUACGUGAAUUGUGAUUGCACGACAACAAGCGCAAGUUUGCAAUAUUGUCUCUCCAUUAAACCUAUAUAUAUAUGUUCAAAAAUUUUUUAAAUAGUAAUUAACUUGCUAUUAAUAUGCGCCGGUAACUGCACGCAACAUUAUUAUAUUCUUUAUCAUCAUGAUAGAAUAGUAUUUAAUUUUUAUAGUUCAGAGGACAUAGUCGAAUAAUUUUUGAAGAACUCUUU